Molecule: ribosomal RNA, 878 nt
Filed under: uncultured bacterium
Lineage: Bacteria
Description: bacterial SSU rRNA
Rfam family: Bacterial small subunit ribosomal RNA
Source: RNAcentral
GCUCAGAACGAACGCUGGCGGCGUGCUUAAUACAUGCAAGUCGAACGUUAAGUGUAGCAAUACACUGAAAGUGGCGAACGGGUGAGUAACACGUAAGUAAUCUGCCUUUAAGACUGGGAUAACCUUGCCAACGCGGGGCUAAUACCGGAUGUGGUCAGUCGGACGCAUGUCUGAUUGAUUAAAGGAGUGAUCCGCUUAAAGAUGAACUUGCGGCCCAUUAGCUUGUUGGCGGGGUAACGGCCCACCAAGGCUGCGAUGGGUAGCCGGCCUGAGAGGGUGUACGGCCACAUUGGGACUGAGAUACGGCCCAGACUCCUACGGGAGGCAGCAGUAGGGAAUUUUGCGCAAUGGACGAAAGUCUGACGCAGCAACGCCGCGUGAGGGAUGAAGGCCUUCGGGUUGUAAACCUCUGUUGGGUAGGAAAAAAAGGUAGCAAUACUUUGAUGGUACUACCUGAGGAAGCACCGGCUAACUACGUGCCAGCAGCCGCGGUAAUACGUAGGGUGCAAGCGUUGUUCGGAAUCACUGGGCGUAAAGAGAGCGUAGGCGGGAUUGUAAGUUAGAAGUUUAAUACAUGGGCUUAACCCGUGGCUGGCUUUUAAUACUGCAGUUCUUGAGUAUGGGAGAGGGCGAUGGAAUUCCAGGUGUAGCGGUGGAAUGCGUAGAUAUCUGGAAGAACACCAGUAGCGAAGGCGGUCGCCUGGCCUAAUACUGACGCUGAGGCUCGAAAGCUAGGGGAGCAAACAGGAUUAGAUACCCUGGUAGUCCUAGCCGUAAACGAUGAACACUAGUUGCCGGAGGAGUCAAUCUUUUUGGUGACGAAGCUAACGCAUUAAGUGUUCCGCCUGGGAAGUACGCUCGCAAGAGUGAAACUCAAA